CAACAAUAUGGGUUCACUCAAGGUCAGCAGAUGUGGACAGGACAGAAAUGGAACUGGGGCCUUCUAGAAAGGAAGAAGAAACAGAAGAACGGGACCUGGGCCGGCCCUGGGCCUGCUUUGAGAUGUUUCCUGCUGAACAACCACCUGGCCUUCACCUCUGUGUUUCAUCGACUCCUUGCUGUGAAUCAAGUGCAGCCUCUUUCCAGCCACUCCCCAGUCCCAGCAACAAUUCCUUUGAGAGAACAACCUCAGGCCAGAAAUCUUCCUGCCCAGAGCAGUGAAAGGGCCCAAAUCUCAGUGAUGUCAAAGCCAGACACACCAUGAUUCUGCUGGUCUUUUCGUCAAGUUGCAAGAUGGCUGCUGCGGCUCCAGAUGUCACAUCUGCCCUCCAGGCUGAAAAAGGAGGGAAGAGCACAAAUCAGUGGCACUACUGGUGUUGAAUAGUUCUUUAUCAGUCAUUUAUUGUUGCUUAAAAUACUGUCGUAAAACUUAGUGGCUCAAAACAACAAUUAUUUAUUGGUUCAUGUUUCUUGGCAUCAGAGUUUGGGCAGGGGUCAGCUGGCAGUUCUUCCUCUGGUCUGAUGGGUUCACUCAGCGACAGCAGUUGGUGACUCAGUAGGUGCUAUAUUGUCCAAGAGAGCCUAAGUUGUGUAUCGCAUAUCUGGUAUUUGCUGCUGGCUUUUAAGAUGUGAUGACAGAAGCAGAGGUCAGAGUGAUGCCAUUGCUAGAAGGGGACCACUACCCAAGGAAUGUAGGUAGUAGCCUCUGCCAGCUGGAAAAGGCAAGAAGUGGACUCCUUCCCUGAAACUUCCAGAAAGAUCAAACUCUGCCAACACCUUGGUUUUACCCCAAUAAGACCAGUUUUGGACUUCAGACAUCAAGAACUAUAAGAGAAUAAAUGUGCUAUGUCACUUAUUACAGCAGCAAUAAGAAACUAUCUCCCUCCAUUGCUCUCUCAUUCUCUAAGGUAGAAGUUAGCCAACUAUGGCCUCAUUGCCUGAUUUUGUAAAUAACUUGUAUUGGAACAUACAUGUCCUUCCCUAUUAUCUAUGUCUGCUUUCAUGCUGCAGCAGCAC
Bos taurus (domestic cattle) is the source of this 1076-nucleotide long non-coding RNA. The record is from Ensembl. Lineage: Eukaryota; Metazoa; Chordata; Mammalia; Artiodactyla; Bovidae.